UACGAAGGGGGCUAGCGUUGUUCGGAAUUACUGGGCGUAAAGCGCACGUAGGCGGGUUUGUAAGUAAGGGGUGAAAUCCCAGGGCUCAACCCUGGAACUGCCUCUUAGACUGCAAGCCUGGAGGUCAGGAGAGGCGAGUGGAAUUCCGAGUGUAGAGGUGAAAUUCGUAGAUAUUCGGAGGAACACCAGUGGCGAAGGCGACUCGCUGGACUGAUACUGACGCUGAGGUGCGAAAGCGUGGGGAGCAAACAGG
This 253-nucleotide ribosomal RNA is filed under the name uncultured Alphaproteobacteria bacterium. RNAcentral's name for it is "partial 16S ribosomal RNA". It matches the Rfam family "Bacterial small subunit ribosomal RNA", at positions 524 to 776 of the family's 1533-position model. The record is from RNAcentral. Lineage: Bacteria; Pseudomonadati; Pseudomonadota; Alphaproteobacteria.